This is an RNA transcript of Syzygium oleosum, 2427 nucleotides long. RefSeq lists it as uncharacterized. The record is from RefSeq and is a predicted model, not a curated record. Lineage: Eukaryota; Viridiplantae; Streptophyta; Magnoliopsida; Myrtales; Myrtaceae. The transcript is spliced from 3 exons.
UCGAAAACACUUUUGAAUCUCUAUGGCUGGAUUGUGUUCUGUUUAUGAUGUGUGAGGACUGAAAGAACUCAUGGGGGCAGAAGAGUCGACAUUUUCAAAUUCAGCUUACGUGCAAACCAAAGAUGUGAACAUUAUCCAGAUAGUUGGUAGUCGAUUUAACAGGAACAUAUUAUAACCAAUGUCCUAACAAUUUGUAUUGACAAAAUCUGUUUAAUUUAGUAACUAACAAGAGUUGAUUUUACUGGUUGCAGAAUAAAUUGCAAGGCAUCCCUUUAAUUGAGCAUGUUACCAAAAUGUCGAGUAGAUGUGGUAGUUUAAAUUGCAAAAUCAACAGAGCACUGAAAUGUGACAUACACAGUCAUGGGUUUUGUUUGAGUAGUUUUUACUCCGAACAUGCGCAUUUGUCGGCCAACUUAUUUUUUUAGAAUUUUGCUCUGGGGACAAUAUUUUAACCGUUGGCAUUAGGUAAAGCAAUCUUCUAAGCCUAUAUAUAGGCACGGGCAGAUAUCCUGGUAUUUGAGUAAAUUGAGUGAGAUAAGAUGAUACCUCACUUCCUUACAACUUAACUUUAUGGUUGGCUAAUCCUUUAAUGAGACAUCAGAGCAUUUUCUUUUGAGGUUUUGGUGUUGGCAUGUUAUCUUUCAAAAGCCUCUUAUGCUAGCUUUCAUGUGUUUACAUUUAAUUGGCCUUCUCUUAUCUGGUGAAAGUUUUCCUUUUUGUAGGUUUUAAUGUGGAUGAUAUUGCUUCUCUUAUUUCUUGGGUGCUCUUUUUCCCUUCUAACUUCUGUCAUUCAGCUGUUUCAGUUGUUUUUAGGGUACUUGGGGUUUUGGUUGUUUGGGUGGUGUUUUGGUGUGGGGGGGAAUUAAGCAUCAUUAAGAGUUCUUGAUUUUGACACUGCUGAACUGCCCCUCAGCUGAAUGCUUGAUUAGCACAUCUCUGUUUAACAUUCACUUCUUGCCUAUUGCUUUCAUGUUGACUAUGAGUUUAAUGCAAGCACUGGGACUCUGGAGAUGUCUAGUCGCUAUGAUAAAGAACAUUUCAUGGCAAAUCUAUCCUUGUUGUUGCAGUGGUCUCCAUACUCAAAUGAAGCAGAUCUUGUCAGGCAAGCAAGUUACUUCUCAUUAUUUUCCCCUGUAUCCCUUAUUGUUAUUUAUUUUUUUCUUGACAAAACCUCAUUCAUCUAUUGUAAGUACAAGUCUUGCAUAUUUUAUUUUACUUUUUCUCUCUUAUUAUUUUGGUUUAUCAUUUCACAGAUUUGAUUUAUCAAAGUCUUGAUUGUCACACUUGUUGGCUUUAAUAUUCUAAUAAAUCCAUCCUGUGAGUUUUGUGAUGGGGGCCUGGUAUACAUGGCCAUAAUGAGAAAGCAACGAAUUCUGUUGGCUUUUGUGGAAGAUCAAGAUUAUGAUUAUGCUUGCUGUGCUUAUGGAUUAGCAACUUUCAUUUCCUUCUUUUGGUGCAAUCCCUAUUAUUUUACUAUUGAGCAUCUGCAGUUUUUUCGAAUGAUAUUUUGACGGUCAAGUAGUUCUGGUCUGGUUGAUUAGCUUUCUGAUUUGAACACUUCGUCAUGGCUAUAGUGACAAGUGCAAUUCUGGAAAAGUUAGCUGCUACUUGUCAAACAGUCUGCUGACCUGGCUAUCUUGGGAUUUAAGAGAGAAGUUGCUAGCUAGAGACAUUUUUUUAUCUGAUAAUUCAUGUGUAGCUCUUAAGAGACAUUGUACAAUUGCCGGAAUCGUAUUGUGUUCAAGUCUUAAAUAAAUCAUUCCGUUCUUCUUAUGGUAGUUUGAUGACAUUGGAUCUCAUGGUACAAAAAUUAUUAUUUAUAAUUUGUGGUUGAAUGAUGUUGGGAAAAUGGAGUUAGACUUUGAUGCCGAUCCCCAGUGGAGGUAUUAGGAAAGUCGAAUCACUUCCUGCCUGGAAAUCAGUAAACGAGCAGCACAUCGCUAAUCAACUCCAUAUUCUCUUCGGGUAUAUGACAUCCAAUUUGAAUGAAAGUACUUGGAGCGAAGUGACCUUUCAAAAUAAAAGUUGUAAGUGUGGUAAGCGUGGUAAGCGUGUUGCUGUGAGAAUAUCGGAAUCUUCAAGAAACAAACACAAGCUCUACUGUAAUUAUGAGGAUAAAAUAUGUGAUUUGUUUUCUUGGUGUUUGCCUACAAGCGAUGUGCCUUAUUCUAUCACAAAGGCUCCGCCUGCAAUACGUGAAGAUGACAUGAGAAAUGUUAAGUAUUUACUUGAGCAUUUGAAGGAUAAAUUCAAGAACACUAAUGUGAAUGGAUUGAGGCAUAAUGUGUACCAUUUAAAUGUCCUGCUACUUUUUGUUUGUCUGUUAUUUAUUAUUUUAUUUGGACUACUUGUCCAGAGAAAGUAGAUGGUUCAAACAUUGUGUUGUGCUGGCUCUAAUGGACACAAUCGCAUCAUCUUUUUGUGAAC